GCCGAUAUAUACAAUCCAAACUAAAACACAUAGAAUUAUCUGAUGCGCGUGUCUAGUGCUAGGUACAUUUGAACAUACAUACAAGAAUAUGCCGUUCUAGGUGUUGCAAUAAUGGUUUUAGUGAGGACAUAUGUCUAUCUACUUUCACGUAAUAUAUCACCCAGAAUUUUAUAACAAGUCAUUUCAAUGUGAAAUCCACCUCAAAUGACGAUAAACUUAUCUUCUUUGUACAAAUCAGGCGAUUCCCAC
This 249-nucleotide long non-coding RNA is filed under the name Mytilus galloprovincialis (Mediterranean mussel). The record is from RNAcentral. Lineage: Eukaryota; Metazoa; Mollusca; Bivalvia; Mytilida; Mytilidae.